UUGUCCGGAUUUAUUGGGCGUAAAGAGUUUGUAGGCGGUUAGUUACGUCGGAUGUGAAAACCCGGAGCUUAACUCCGGGCCUGCAUUCGAUACGGGCUGACUAGAGUGUUGUAGGGGAGACUGGAACUCCUGGUGUAGCGGUGAAAUGCGCAGAUAUCAGGAAGAACACCGGUGGCGAAGGCGGGUCUCUGGGCAGCUACUGACGCUGAGGAGCGAAAGCUAGGGGAGCAAACGGG
This 236-nucleotide ribosomal RNA is filed under the name uncultured bacterium. Its description in RNAcentral is "partial 16S ribosomal RNA". It matches the Rfam family "Bacterial small subunit ribosomal RNA", at positions 541 to 776 of the family's 1533-position model. The record is from RNAcentral.